GGAAUCUCCCAUAUCCGCACCUGACACGUACAAAGGCAAACGCAAAGAUGCAAAGAUGCAGAACUCAGGCAAAUAGCUCUUGUGUUGGUUUACUCACAGAAGCAUCCUCUGAACAAGAAGCGAUUAUGUUGUCAUGAAAAGGAUUCCAUUUGAUGUCCAGCACAUUGCCUUGGUGACCGCAGACCUUCGGAUAGUGAGGGUCGAUACGGCCAAACUGCAAGAGAGAAGUAUAGUUUCCAUUCAACAACUGAAGCUCCUUUGUCAUAAGAGGAAUUCCAUCUGAAAAGUCAAUGUUCUGCAACUAUAUCGCUCCCAUGUGUCUGGCUUUCAAGCAUGAUAAUUGCUUAUUCUUAAUCAGACAGUUGUAUCUGUAAUAUAGACUAAUGUCUUGGGUUGAAUAAACACAUUUGAAAGAUUUAAUAAACUACAUACACACAUUACAACAAACACAAAAUUGCAUUAAACUGCCAAACUCUCUCUCUCUCUCUCUCUCUCUCUCUCUCUCUCUCUAUAUAUAUAUAUAUGGUUAUAAAGUGAUAAAAGGUAAACACAUUAAAACAUAUUGGUUACAUAAUGCAGCCAAAGAUGACCUGUAGCUUCACAGUGAUUUCUCUGAUCUCUAUGGCAAUUUCUAAGUAUUACAGUAAGUAUUUAAACGUCACAGGGAGCUUUCAGUGCUAAACAGAGAAAGACAGACACACAAGGGAGAUGCAGGAUCAAGAAGCUGGGAAAAAAUAGCUCCACAUGGCGUCCAAAUAAACACAUAUGCGGAAGUCAGAGGGACUAAACUCUUUUCCAAGGCCGUGGAGCACAUUUGGAGUCUCAAACACUCUGGAUUAAGCACAUUAAGGGCACAAAGCUGGCCUUCUACAUCACACAUUAACUAGGCGGCUCUGAAUGGUCAUCACAAAAGUGCUAUUGAUAGUUUAUCCAAGUUGUCUGAGAUCAUGACCGAGAGUCUGCAGGCCCACUGGGCAGUGUAGCAUGACCGGAUGCACUAAAGAGGAGGGACAGAAGAAUAGACUGAUAAAGAGCGGAGAUAAUAGAAGAAUGGGACACUGUCAUAUCAAUGAUAAACAGAGUGAGAGAAUUUUUUUCCUGUGGUUUUUGUACAUUCUGUCCACUUGCUGUGGAAGUGGAAUUUUGGAGGCACAUUUAAAUUCACUAACUUUGCAUUUCGUAUCUUUAGGACUCAUGUAUACAAAAAUAUAAUAACUUAAAGGGAUAGUUCUCACUCAAAAAAUAUGUUGGGAUUUUCCAUUUACUUACCCUCAUGAUGUUCCGAAUCGGUAUUCGCUUGUUAAGUCUGACGUCACGUAGCAGCGCUUCCGUGUC
Molecule: long non-coding RNA, 1335 nt
Organism: Carassius auratus (goldfish)
Lineage: Eukaryota; Metazoa; Chordata; Actinopteri; Cypriniformes; Cyprinidae
Exons: 3
Source: RefSeq, a predicted model, not a curated record